UAGGGAAUCUUCCGCAAUGGGCGAAAGCCUGACGGAGCAACGCCGCGUGAGUGAUGAAGGUCUUCGGAUCGUAAAACUCUGUUAUUAGGGAAGAACAAAUGUGUAAGUAACUAUGCACGUCUUGACGGUACCUAAUCAGAAAGCCACGGCUAACUACGUGCCAGCAGCCGCGGUAAUACGUAGGUGGCAAGCGUUAUCCGGAAUUAUUGGGCGUAAAGCGCGCGUAGGCGGUUUUUUAAGUCUGAUGUGAAAGCCCACGGCUCAACCGUGGAGGGUCAUUGGAAACUCGAAAACUUGAGUGCAGAAGAGGAAAGUGGAAUUCCAUGUGUAGCGGUGAAAUGCGCAGAGAUAUGGAGGAACACCAGUGGCGAAGGCGACUUUCUGGUCUGUAACUGACGCUGAUGUGCGAAAGCGUGGGGAUCAAACAGG
RNAcentral lists this ribosomal RNA (429 nucleotides) under Actinomycetes bacterium. RNAcentral describes it as "Actinobacteria bacterium partial 16S ribosomal RNA". It matches the Rfam family "Bacterial small subunit ribosomal RNA", at positions 355 to 776 of the family's 1533-position model. The record is from RNAcentral. Lineage: Bacteria; Bacillati; Actinomycetota; Actinomycetes.